This 497-nucleotide ribosomal RNA is filed under the name uncultured bacterium. RNAcentral's name for it is "partial 16S ribosomal RNA". It matches the Rfam family "Bacterial small subunit ribosomal RNA", at positions 28 to 507 of the family's 1533-position model. The record is from RNAcentral.
GAUGAGCGCUGGCGGCGCGCCUAAUACAUGCAAGUCGAGCGAACGGACGAGAAGCUUGCUUUUCUGAUGUUAGCGGCGGACGGGUGAGUAACACGUGGAUAACCUACCUAUAAGACUGGGAUAACUUCGGGAAACCGGAGCUAAUACCGGAUAAUAUUUUGAACCGCAUGGUUCAAAAGUGAAAGACGGUAUUGCUGUCACUUAUAGAUGGAUCCGCGCUGCAUUAGCUAGUUGGUAAGGUAACGGCUUACCAAGGCAACGAUGCAUAGCCGACCUGAGAGGGUGAUCGGCCACACUGGAACUGAGACACGGUCCAGACUCCUACGGGAGGCAGCAGUAGGGAAUCUUCCGCAAUGGGCGAAAGCCUGACGGAGCAACGCCGCGUGAGUGAUGAAGGUCUUCGGAUCGUAAAACUCUGUUAUUAGGGAAGAACAUAUGUGUAAGUAACUGUGCACAUCUUGACGGUACCUAAUCAGAAAGCCACGGCUAACUACGUG